RNAcentral lists this ribosomal RNA (474 nucleotides) under uncultured organism. RNAcentral describes it as "partial 16S ribosomal RNA". It matches the Rfam family "Bacterial small subunit ribosomal RNA", at positions 332 to 797 of the family's 1533-position model. The record is from RNAcentral.
UACACUCCUACGGGAGGCAGCAGUGGGGAAUUUUGGACAAUGGGCGAAAGCCUGAUCCAGCCAUGCCGCGUGCAGGAUGAAGGCCUUCGGGUUGUAAACUGCUUUUGUACGGAACGAAACGGCCUUUUCUAAUAAAGAGGGCUAAUGACGGUACCGUAAGAAUAAGCCCCGGCUAACUACGGGCCAGCAGCCGCGGUAAUACGUAGGGUGCAAGCGUUAAUCGGAAUUACUGGGCGUAAAGCGUGCGCAGGCGGUUAUGUAAGACAGUUGUGAAAUCCCCGGGCUCAACCUGGGAACUGCAUCUGUGACUGCAUAGCUAGAGUACGGUAGAGGGGGAUGGAAUUCCGCGUGUAGCAGUGAAAUGCGUAGAUAUGCGGAGGAACACCGAUGGCGAAGGCAAUCCCCUGGACCUGUACUGACGCUCAUGCACGAAAGCGUGGGGAGCAAACAGUAUUAGAAACCCCAGUAGUCCCA